GAUGAACGCUGGCGGCGUGCCUAAUACAUGCAAGUCGAGCGAACGGACGAGAAGCUUGCUUCUCUGAUGUUAGCGGCGGACGGGUGAGUAACACGUGGAUAACCUACCUAUAAGACUGGGAUAACUCCGGGAAACCGGAGCUAAUACCGGAUAAUAUUUUGAACCGCAUGGUUCAAAAGUGAAAGACGGUCUUGCUGUCACUUAUAGAUGGAUCCGCGCUGCAUUAGCUAGUUGGUAAGGUAACGGCUUACCAAGGCAACGAUGCAUAGCCGACCUGAGAGGGUGAUCGGCCACACUGGAACUGAGACACGGUCCAGACUCCUACGGGAGGCAGCAGUAGGGAAUCUUCCGCAAUGGGCGAAAGCCUGACGGAGCAACGCCGCGUGAGUGAUGAAGGUCUUCGGAUCGUAAAACUCUGUUAUUAGGGAAGAACAUAUGUGUAAGUAACUGUGCACAUCUUGACGGUACCUAAUCAGAAAGCCACGGCUAACUACGUGCCAGCAGCCGCGGUAAUACGUAGGUGGCAAGCGUUAUCCGGAAUUAUUGGGCGUAAAGCGCGCGUAGGCGGUUUUUUAAGUCUGAUGUGAAAGCCCACGGCUCAACCGUGGAGGGUCAUUGGAAACUGGAAAACUUGAGUGCAGAAGAGGAAAGUGGAAUUCCAUGUGUAGCGGUGAAAUGCGCAGAGAUAUGGAGGAACACCAGUGGCGAAGGCGACUUUCUGGUCUGUAACUGACGCUGAUGUGCGAAAGCGUGGGGAUCAAACAGGAUUAGAUACCCUGGUAGUCCACGCCGUAAACGAUGAGUGCUAAGUGUUAGGGGGUUUCCGCCCCUUAGUGCUGCAGCUAACGCAUUAAGCACUCCGCCUGGGGAGUACGACCGCAAGGUUGAAACUCCAAGGAAUUGACGGGGACCCGCACAAGCGGUGGAGCAUGUGGUUUAAUUCGAAGCAACGCGAAGAACCUUACCAAAUCUUGACAUCCUUUGACAACUCUAGAGAUAGAGCCUUCCCCUUCGGGGGACAAAGUGACAGGUGGUGCAUGGUUGUCGUCAGCUCGUGUCGUGAGAUGUUGGGUUAAGUCCCGCAACGAGCGCAACCCUUAAGCUUAGUUGCCAUCAUUAAGUUGGGCACUCUAAGUUGACUGCCGGUGACAAACCGGAGGAAGGUGGGGAUGACGUCAAAUCAUCAUGCCCCUUAUGAUUUGGGCUACACACGUGCUACAAUGGACAAUACAAAGGGCAGCGAAACCGCGAGGUCAAGCAAAUCCCAUAAAGUUGUUCUCAGUUCGGACUGUAGUCUGCAACUCGACUACAUGAAGCUGGAAUCGCUAGUAAUCGUAGAUCAGCAUGCUACGGUGAAUACGUUCCCGGGUCU
This 1372-nucleotide ribosomal RNA is filed under the name uncultured bacterium. Its description in RNAcentral is "bacterial SSU rRNA". It matches the Rfam family "Bacterial small subunit ribosomal RNA", at positions 28 to 1381 of the family's 1533-position model. The record is from RNAcentral.